RNAcentral lists this long non-coding RNA (680 nucleotides) under Brassica napus (rape). RNAcentral describes it as "long non-coding RNA (BNAP_LNC026927)". Lineage: Eukaryota; Viridiplantae; Streptophyta; Magnoliopsida; Brassicales; Brassicaceae. The record is from RNAcentral.
AAAUUAACAUACUUACAAAUAAGAGGGAAAGUGUUAUAAUUUGAAUUAUUGAAUAACAUUGUAUCAUUAAUUGAUUAGUUCUUAUGACUUUAAGUUAGGUUUACAAAAGAAAUGAUGAUCAAAUUAUAACAUUUUCCCUCUUAUUUGUAAGUAUGUUAAUUUCAUUAAAAGAAUGUGUGUAUUUAAUGGAUUUCAAAAAGAGUUAUUAUUGGGUUCACCUCCCUAGGGUGAACCAGCCAAUAAGAUUUCAUUAUUUCAAAUUCGAUAUCUUUUAAAAAAGGAAACAAAAUAUUAUCAAGUUAUAUUAUGUUUUUAAAAUAAAAAAGUAAAAAGAAAAUAACGGUUACAGAAAAAAAAAUUAAAAAAAUCUUUUUAACGUCGUCAGCAAAACACUAAAUCUUAAACCCUAAAUCAUAAUCUCUAAACCCUAAACCCUUGGGUAAACCUAAACCCUUGGGUAAACCCUAAACCCUUGGGUAAACUCUAAACCGUGGAGUAAACCCUAAACACUUGGAUAAAUCUUAAACUCUAAAUAAAAACACUAAACCCUAAAACUCUAAACCCUAAAUCCUAAACCCUAAACUCUUGAGUGUUUUAGUGUUAAGUGAUUUUGAUUUAGAGUUUAAGAUUUAUCCUAGAGUUUAAGAUUUAUCCUAGAGUUUAGGAUUUACCCAAGGGUU